AGCGAACGCUGGCGGCAGGCCUAACACAUGCAAGUCGAACGGAUCCUUCGGGAUUAGUGGCGGACGGGUGAGUAACACGUGGGAACGUGCCCUUUGGUUCGGAACAACACAGGUAAACUUGAGCUAAUACCGGAUGUGCCCUUCGGGGGAAAGAUUGAUCGCCAUUGGAGCGGCCCGCGUCUGAUUAGCUAGUUGGUGAGGUAACGGCCCACCAAGGCGACGAUCAGUAGCUGGUCUGAGAGGAUGAGCAGCCACACUGGGACUGAGACACGGCCCAGACUCCUACGGGAGGCAGGAGUGGGUGAUCUUGCGCAAUGGGGGAAAGGCUGACGGAGCCAUGCCGGGUGAAUGAUGAAGGUCUUAGGAUUGAAAAAUUCUUUCAGCGGGGACGAUAAUGACGGUACCCGCAGAAGAAGCUCCGGCUAACUUCGUG
RNAcentral lists this ribosomal RNA (433 nucleotides) under uncultured bacterium. Its description in RNAcentral is "partial 16S ribosomal RNA". It matches the Rfam family "Bacterial small subunit ribosomal RNA", at positions 29 to 507 of the family's 1533-position model. The record is from RNAcentral.